AUUGAACGCUGGCGGCAUGCCUUACACAUGCAAGUCGAACGGUAACAGGUCUUCGGAUGCUGACGAGUGGCGAACGGGUGAGUAAUACAUCGGAACGUGCCUAGUAGUGGGGGAUAACUACUCGAAAGAGUGGCUAAUACCGCAUGAGAUCUAAGGAUGCAAGCAGGGGAUCGCAAGACCUUGUGCUACUAGAUCGGCCGAUGGCAGAUUAGGUAGUUGGUGGGAUAAAAGCUUACCAAGCCGACGAUCUGUAGCUGGUCUGAGAGGACGAUCAGCCACACUGGGACUGAGACACGGCCCAGACUCCUACGGGAGGCAGCAGUGGGGAAUUUUGGACAAUGGGCGAAAGCCUGAUCCAGCAAUGCCGCGUGCAGGAUGAAGGCCUUCGGGUUGUAAACUGCUUUUGUACGGAACGAAAAGCCCCGGGUUAAUACCCUGGGGUCAUGACGGUACCGUAAGAAUAAGCACCGGCUAACUACGUGCCAGCAGCCGCCGUAA
RNAcentral lists this ribosomal RNA (498 nucleotides) under uncultured bacterium. RNAcentral's name for it is "partial 16S ribosomal RNA". It matches the Rfam family "Bacterial small subunit ribosomal RNA", at positions 30 to 523 of the family's 1533-position model. The record is from RNAcentral.